UUAAGCGACUAAGCGUACACGGUGGAUGCCCUGGCAGUCAGAGGCGAUGAAGGGCGUGCUAAUCUGCGAUAAGCGCCGGUAAGGUGAUAUGAACCGUUAUAACCGGCGAUACCCGAAUGGGGAAACCCAGUGUGAUUCGUCACACUAUCAUUAACUGAAUCCAUAGGUUAAUGAGGCGAACCGGGGGAACUGAAACAUCUAAGUACCCCGAGGAAAAGAAAUCAACCGAGAUUCCCCCAGUAGCGGCGAGCGAACGGGGAGGAGCCCAGAGCCUGAAUCAGCAUGUGUGUUAGUGGAAGCGUCUGGAAAGGCGCGCGAUACAGGGUGACAGCCCCGUACACAAAAGCGCAUGUGCUGUGAGCUCGAUGAGUAGGGCGGGACACGUGGUAUCCUGUCUGAAUAUGGGGGGACCAUCCUCCAAGGCUAAAUACUCCUGACUGACCGAUAGUGAACCAGUACCGUGAGGGAAAGGCGAAAAGAACCCCGGCGAGGGGAGUGAAAAAGAACCUGAAACCGUGUACGUACAAGCAGUGGGAGCCCCACCACUAAGCCAGUGGUGAACUCCACAUCCGCAUCCUUUGCUGAGGAUACGGUUAACGGAGCGAAAGCGACGUUCAACCGCAAAACAAGCAGAGGGGGCUUAGUGGUGGGGUGACUGCGUACCUUUUGUAUAAUGGGUCAGCGACUUAUAUUCUGUAGCAAGGUUAACCGUAUAGGGGAGCCGGAGGGAAACCGAGUCUUAAUUGGGCGUUAAGUUGCAGGGUAUAGACCCGAAACCCGGUGAUCUAGCCAUGGGCAGGUUGAAGGUUGGGUAACACUAACUGGAGGACCGAACCGACUAAUGUUGAAAAAUUAGCGGAUGACCUGUGGCUGGGGGUGAAAGGCCAAUCAAACCGGGAGAUAGCUGGUUCUCCCCGAAAGCUAUUUAGGUAGCGCCUCGUGAAUUCAUCUCCGGGGGUAGAGCACUGUUUCGGCUAGGGGGCCAUCCCGGCUUACCAACCCGAUGCAAACUGCGAAUACCGGAGAAUGUUAUCACGGGAGACACACGGCGGGUGCUAACGUCCGUCGUGAAGAGGGAAACAACCCAGACCGCCAGCUAAGGUCCCAAAGUCAUGGUUAAGUGGGAAACGAUGUGGGAAGGCCCAGACAGCCAGGAUGUUGGCUUAGAAGCAGCCAUCAUUUAAAGAAAGCGUAAUAGCUCACUGGUCGAGUCGGCCUGCGCGGAAGAUGUAACGGGGCUAAACCAUGCACCGAAGCUGCGGCAGCGAACGUAUCACCCAAGACAACUUUACGGAGUUGACGAUUGACGGAGCGAAGCGACGUCAAAGCGUUCAUUAAAGUCGAGUUGGCUUAGGGAUACGUUCGUUGGGUAGGGGAGCGUUCUGUAAGCCUGUGAAGGUGUGUCGUGAGGCAUGCUGGAGGUAUCAGAAGUGCGAAUGCUGACAUAAGUAACGAUAAAGCGGGUGAAAAGCCCGCUCGCCGGAAGACCAAGGGUUCCUGUCCAACGUUAAUCGGGGCAGGGUGAGUCGACCCCUAAGGCGAGGCCGAAAGGCGUAGUCGAUGGGAAACGGGUUAAUAUUCCCGUACUUGGUGUUACUGCGAAGGGGGGACGGAGAAGGCUAUGUUGGCCGGGCGACGGUUGUCCCGGUUUAAGCGUGUAGGUGUGUGUUCCAGGUAAAUCCGGUUCACUUUAACACUGAGGCGUGACGACGAGGCACUACGGUGCUGAAGCAACAAAUGCCCUGCUUCCAGGAAAAGCCUCUAAGCAUCAGGUAACAUCAAAUCGUACCCCAAACCGACACAGGUGGUCAGGUAGAGAAUACCAAGGCGCUUGAGAGAACUCGGGUGAAGGAACUAGGCAAAAUGGUGCCGUAACUUCGGGAGAAGGCACGCUGACACGUAGGUGAAGUGAUUUACUCAUGGAGCUGAAGUCAGUCGAAGAUACCAGCUGGCUGCAACUGUUUAUUAAAAACACAGCACUGUGCAAACACGAAAGUGGACGUAUACGGUGUGACGCCUGCCCGGUGCCGGAAGGUUAAUUGAUGGGGUCAGCGCAAGCGAAGCUCCUGAUCGAAGCCCCGGUAAACGGCGGCCGUAACUAUAACGGUCCUAAGGUAGCGAAAUUCCUUGUCGGGUAAGUUCCGACCUGCACGAAUGGCGUAAUGAUGGCCAGGCUGUCUCCACCCCGAGACUCAGUGAAAUUGAACUCGCUGUGAAGAUGCAGUGUACCCGCGGCAAGACGGAAAGACCCCGUGAACCUUUACUAUAGCUUGACACUGAACAUUGAGCCUUGAUGUGUAGGAUAGGUGGGAGGCUUUGAAGUGUGGACGCCAGUCUGCAUGGAGCCGACCUUGAAAUACCACCCUUUAAUGUUUGAUGUUCUAACGUGGACCCGUAAUCCGGGUUGCGGACAGUGUCUGGUGGGUAGUUUGACUGGGGCGGUCUCCUCCUAAAGAGUAACGGAGGAGCACGAAGGUUGGCUAAUCCUGGUCGGACAUCAGGAGGUUAGUGCAAUGGCAUAAGCCAGCUUGACUGCGAGCGUGACGGCGCGAGCAGGUGCGAAAGCAGGUCAUAGUGAUCCGGUGGUUCUGAAUGGAAGGGCCAUCGCUCAACGGAUAAAAGGUACUCCGGGGAUAACAGGCUGAUACCGCCCAAGAGUUCAUAUCGACGGCGGUGUUUGGCACCUCGAUGUCGGCUCAUCACAUCCUGGGGCUGAAGUAGGUCCCAAGGGUAUGGCUGUUCGCCAUUUAAAGUGGUACGCGAGCUGGGUUUAGAACGUCGUGAGACAGUUCGGUCCCUAUCUGCCGUGGGCGCUGGAGAACUGAGGGGGGCUGCUCCUAGUACGAGAGGACCGGAGUGGACGCAUCACUGGUGUUCGGGUUGUCAUGCCAAUGGCACUGCCCGGUAGCUAAAUGCGGAAGAGAUAAGUGCUGAAAGCAUCUAAGCACGAAACUUGCCCCGAGAUGAGUUCUCCCUGAGACUUUAGGUCUCCUGAAGGAACGUUGAAGACGACGACGUUGAUAGGCCGGGUGUGUAAGCGCAGCGAUGCGUUGAGCUAACCGGUACUAAUGAACCGUGAGGCUUAACCUU
RNAcentral lists this ribosomal RNA (3090 nucleotides) under Salmonella enterica subsp. enterica. RNAcentral describes it as "bacterial LSU rRNA". It matches the Rfam family "Bacterial large subunit ribosomal RNA". The record is from RNAcentral. Lineage: Bacteria; Pseudomonadati; Pseudomonadota; Gammaproteobacteria; Enterobacterales; Enterobacteriaceae.